Molecule: long non-coding RNA, 1959 nt
Organism: Oncorhynchus keta (chum salmon)
Lineage: Eukaryota; Metazoa; Chordata; Actinopteri; Salmoniformes; Salmonidae
Exons: 3
Source: RefSeq, a predicted model, not a curated record
AGUAGUGGGCCCUGGGGAUUAGCAUGGAUCUGGAAGUCAUUGAUGUGUCUCAAAUGGCACUCUAUUUGCUUUAUGGUGCUCUACAGGGCGCUUGUCAAAAGUAGUGCAUUAUAAAGUGAAUAGGGUGCCAUUUGGGACGAGGGCCAAUCUGAACGCAGGGGGAUAUAUAGGAAUCAGUGGGAAUGGGUUGUUUGUAAUGAGAACAAUAAAGCAGAUCUGGGCCUUUAUUCACAAAGCGUGGGAGUGAUGAUCUAGGAUCAGUUUAGCCUUUUAGACCAGGGAUGAGCAACGGGCUCCCCCCCCGAACUCUGUCGGGGUCUCAACUUAUUGUUGAGCAUUAGAAUGGUAGAAUACACAAGGUGCAAUAUUGAAAUUUGGUUGUGCAUCAGCAGUUGUUCUCUUGUUAUCUCAGUCACCGACAGUCACUCAAAUACCAAUGUCAGCUAAAUCAUUUUAGAUUUGUAAAUUAGUCUAGCCAGCUAUCUACACUUGUAAUCAUAGUCAAAUUACCGGCCGGGGGGGCCCCCAUUGAAUUUGUUAGUCAGUCUCAUGCUGAUAUCAUAUUCAAAACUACAAACAUUUCUCUCCACCCUAUUGCUAAAUUAGCAGAAUUGCAGUAAAUUAGCUGUAAAACUCUAUUUUUCUUUGCCCCAUGGCAAAAUUAGUGGAAUUACAGAGAAUGUGUCAUAAAAUUGCUAAAUCUUCUCUCCGCCCCCCGUGGCAAAAUGUGUAGAAUUGCAGGAUAUGAAAUCUAAAACUUUUUUUUUUUCUCCUGUUAGGGGGGGGGCAACGAAAUGUAACUUGGGCACUCAAAAGGCUAGGGCUGUAUGUGUGGGUAUGAAUUCGGGCCACUGAGGCCCUUCAUGUUGAGUUCAGAUUUUGUGGCCCCCAUUCACAUCAAAGUUUCCAAUCCCUGUUCUAGACCAUAAUGAAUAAGAUAACGGGGGAUGAUCCUAAAUCAGCAGCCCUGCUCAGAGUAGUAGUCCUUGGGAAGCUGUACGGAACAGAUCCAGCUGGCAGUGCUUUGCCGCUAGUUGUCUAGAACAGAUCCAGCUGGCAGUGCUUUACCGCUAGGUGUCUAGAACAGAUCCAGCUGGCAGUGCUUUACCGCUAGGUGUCGAGAACAGAUCCAGCUGGCAGUGCUUUACCGCUAGGUGUCUAGAACAGAUCCAGCUGGCAGUGCUUUACCGCUAGGUGUCUAGAACAGAUCCAGCUGGCAGUGCUUUACCGCUAGGUGUCGAGAACAGAUCCAGCUGGCAGUGCUUUACCGCUAGGUGUCUAGAACAGAUCCAGCUGGCAGUGCUUUACCGCUAGGUGUCUAGAACAGAUCCAGCUGGCAGUGCUUUACCGCUAGGUGUCUAGAACAGAUCCAGCUGGCAGUGCUUUACCGCUAGGUGUCUAGAACAGAUCCAGCUGGCAGUGCUUUACCGCUAGGUGUCUAGAACAGAUCCAGCUGGCAGUGCUUUACCGCUAGGUGUCUAGAACAGAUCCAGCUGGCAGUGCUUUACCGCUAGGUGUCUAGAACAGAUCCAGCUGGCAGUGCUUUAACGCUAGGUGUCUAGAACAGAUCCAGCUGGCAGUGCUUUACCGCUAGGUGUCUAGAACCGAUCCAGCUGGCAGUGCUUUACCGCUAGGUGUCUAGAACCGAUCCAGCUGGCAGUGCUUUACCGCUAGGUGUCUAGAACCGAUCCAGCUGGCAGUGCUUUACCGCUAGGUGUCUAGAACCGAUCCAGCUGGCAGUGCUUUACCGCUAGGUGUCUAGAACCGAUCCAGCUGGCAGUGCUUAACCGCUAGUUAUCUCCAUUUUGAUAGACAGACAGACAGAUGUGAGGAAGAGGGUGAACACUGGGAAAGCAGCUGGUGAACGACAGGACCCUGACCUUCUGUUUCUCUCUCUCCUAUUUUUCUCUAUCUUGCCCCCCCCACUGCUCUCUCUGUCUUUCUCACAUUCUCUGUCUC